GGAGUCUGGGCCGUAUCUCAGUCCCAAUGUGGCCGAUCAGCCUCUCAGCUCGGCUACCCAUCGCGGGCACGGUGGGCCGUUACCCCGCCGUCUACCUAAUGGGCCGCGACCCCAUCCCAUGCCGUAAGGGCUUUCCCGCCCCCUCCAUGCGGGAGGGGCGGAGUAUCCGGUAUUAGCCUGCGUUUCCGCAGGUUAUCCCGGAGCAUGGGGCAGGUUGGUCACGUGUUACUCACCCGUUCGCCACUCUAUGUCCGGCCGAGGCCGGUUUAAUCGUUCGACUUGCAUGUGUUAAGCACGCCGCCAGCGUUCAUC
RNAcentral lists this ribosomal RNA (312 nucleotides) under uncultured Coriobacteriaceae bacterium. Its description in RNAcentral is "partial 16S ribosomal RNA". Lineage: Bacteria; Bacillati; Actinomycetota; Coriobacteriia; Coriobacteriales; Coriobacteriaceae. The record is from RNAcentral.